This 43670-nucleotide long non-coding RNA is filed under the name Malus domestica (apple). RNAcentral describes it as "long non-coding RNA (MDOM_LNC017472)". Lineage: Eukaryota; Viridiplantae; Streptophyta; Magnoliopsida; Rosales; Rosaceae. The record is from RNAcentral.
UUCAGCACCGACUUGGGGGCCGUGUACGACGCCGCCAUCCUCCGAGCAAUUUCAUUGUCCAUGGCCUCCGCGUUGUCAUCGUCGUCGUUCACAGGGAUGGACGAGACGUAUGCGCCCUUGUCGGUGCCGCCGUAGAGGUCUGUGUCGAAGGUGACGGAGGUGAGGGAGGCCAAUUGCUUCUCCAUCCUCUUCCUCUCUUCCUGCGUCUUCUCUAUCUCGUCGUCGGACGCCAUGACUAGGGUUUUGGUAUCGAGAAUUUAGUACCAGGAUUUGAGCUGGGAUUGAGAUUUUAAUUCAGGAAUUUAGGGUUUUUGGGUACUCAAUUUACUGACUUUGAAUCUUAUUCGGGAGAUUUCCCCGAUUCCAUUAGUAGAUCGGAUCUCCGUAUAAAUUAGGGGUUUGCAUUUCGGGUAUGCGAUGGGCUUGGGUUUUCCUUUUGUGGCCCAGUAAAAGAAAAUAAACCGACAUGCACAAAUCCAUUGGAAUAAGGAUUGAAUAUCCCUUUGUUUACGGGUGGGGAAUGGAAUGACAGGAAUGGGAAUUGCAUUCAUUCCAAUUGAUUCAUGUGUUUACUAAAAUUGUGUGUGGGGCUCACAAAAAAUAAGGAAUCAGAUUCAUGAUUUGCCUGGAAUCAAAUUACCAACCAAUAGGUGGUAUUUGGAUUCCGGAAGAAAAGCUCAACCCGGAAUCAGUUUUUUCUACCCAACAUACCCUUAUCUCCUUCUGUCGUCUCCGGUAGCACAGCACCCACUUUGCUGGCAAUUGGUUAUCGAACCGGCAGUUUAGUGCAACCUGCAAUUUCUUUCCAGGCAGUGAGUUGAUUUAAAACUGCACAAUGAAAGUCAUCGGGAUUGAACUAGCCUUCAGGUUUCAAUUUUCAAAUCCUGAUGGAACCAGCCUUUGAAAAUCCCUUUGGAACCAGGUUUCAAGUUUCAAAUCCCAUAUGCUCUUCCUUAUGAGUUCAUUCCCUUUGAAAAUCCUGAUGGAUCCAGCCUUCAGGUUUCAAACCAAAACCCAGUGAAGAAGCAGACAUAAGAGAAAGACUGAGACAGAGGACCAAUAUAAUAAAUAAAUAUUUGGAAUUAAUUAGUUAUUUGGAAGAAGAAGAAUCACAAGAAGAAGAAAGAAUAAUCAGAAGAGAAGAAGAAGAGUCAGAAGGGAAGGAGAUGAGGAUUUUUAAGGGGCGAGGAGAGGGGGGGGGGGGCAGGCGUUCGUAGAAUUUGUAUACGGUGGGGGAUUUUUAUAUGGUAAAUAAAGACUUUUUAAGAUAAAUAAUUGUAUUAGUGUCAUAUAUACAAAAUAAUUGUGUUAUUAAAGACUUCUUAUAUGGUAAUUAAAGGCUUUUUUUGGUAUUAUUAAUUAGUUAAAUAAAAUUUAGGAAAAAUUAGGUUCUCAUCCUUCAUUUUGCUACUCCAUUGAUUAAAAUCUUAUUCCUUUUCAAUUUUUGAUCAAGGUCCUUGGAGAAAUAAUAUCAUUAAUUAUUUCAAUAAUAAAAUAUAAUUUUUAUUUCUAAAUAUAUUCAUUUAAUGUUAAAAAUGUUACAAUUAGUAUAUUUAUAUUUAUAACUAAAUUUUUUAUCGUAUAUUUUUAGUUUUAGUUUGUACCCAUUUUUAAUUUGUAAUUUUUUUUAAUUUGUAACAAUUUUUUUUUCAAUUUUAAUUUGUACCCAUAUAUUAAAUUCUUUUUUUUCCCAUAUUUUUAAAGUUUAUUUGUAUUUGUACCCAUAUAUAUAUAUUCUUUUUUACUUUUUAUUUUGCUAAAUGUACCCAUGCUAAUUAUAUGUACCCAUUCAUGUAUAACUUUUUAAUGUUAAAAUAUACUCAUUCUUAAAUAUACCAAUUUGUUAUAUGUAAAAUGUACCCUUUUUUUUUAUAUAAAAUCUAUUCAAUUUUUUUUUCUAAUCCUUUUUUAAACUAAUAUGGGUACAUUCUUUUUUCUUUGAUUUUAAAAUGUAUCCAUGUCAAGUUUAAUCCAAGAAAUUUACUAAUGUUGUUAAGCCUAAUAUCUUUUUUUUUUUUUGGUCAUUUUGAAGAAUGUACACCAAGUUUUGAUACAAUAAUAUUUUUGGUUAAUUUUGAUGAAUGUACCCAUGUUUAUAUAUAUAUACACACACACACACACACACAAUAGUAUAUUUAUAUUUUAAUAUUUUUAAUCCCACAAAUUAUGGUUUUUUAUUUAAAAUCUCAUUUAUAUAAUCAACUAAAAUUUCUAAUUUUUAAUUUAAAAAAUAUAGUAACGUACAUAGAAAUAAAUUAUCACAUUAAUUUCAGGGACCUCGAUCAAAAAUUAAAAACCAACAAGGUUUCAAUCAAAAAAUAUUCAUAGCUAAGGACCGCAUUCAAAGUCUCCCUAAAAUUUAUAUCUAUUUUGUACAAGGGUAUUUUAGUAAUCAAACUGCUUUUGAUUCCGAUUCAUGUGAAUUGGUAAACAGCAAUAUAGAAAAUACAUCAUUAGCACUCUGAUCCCAUACAGUUUUAGUAAACAACUUCAACAAGAAUCUGAUUCUGAUUCCACCUCAUUUCAAUUCCUCCUCAAUUCAAUUCCUCAUCAAUUCAAUUCCCUUUAAUCUGAUUACGAAUUAGUAAACGCACCCUUAGUUUAUUGUUGUAACAAGUUGUUGUCAAAGUUGGAAUGGGGAAAAAGUCUGAGUUCCCGCCUAUCAGAUUACUUUUGACUACCACUUGAGUCGAGUUCUCGCUCAACCAUCUCGACUUGCCACCACAAAAUCAAGUUAGUUACUCGCACGUGUUCUUACAUCAAAGUUACAUAUUGACACGCCUCGAUCCCUAUAUUCCCUGAAUACCAGGAUAGGCACGUGCUGGCUGAUACCCGAAGGUGACGAAAGUCACUUAUUGAAUGCAAAUGCUGAGACCAAGGAAUUGAUAAUGUUUACAAAUGUAAAAGAAUAAAGAAUAUGCAUUUAAGGAACAUGUUUAGAGCACACAUCUAAUCUAGAACACUAAAAAAAUUAAUAUAAAAAUUGGUUGAACAAAGGAGUGGGUCCUACACCGAGAUGACUCGAAGAUGCCGAUGCGGAAAUGUUUAGAUGCCGGGAUUGUAUGCCUCAUACGUUGUGUCUUAAUCUUCGUUUCUAAAACUUGAAUGGGGGCGCAAAACAAAGGUGAGUGGACCAAGUUCAUAUAUACAAUAAUAAUAAAACAGUUAUCAAGAUACUAACCCCCACAGUUUAUAUAAAGAAAACCACUAGCAUAAUAAGUGAUAAUUUUACUGAAAACCCUAGCGUGCCAAAAACAUCUCAAAAGACAUAUCGCGGAAAUCAAAACAUCAAACGUCUCAUAGAUCGUCUGGUAGCAUGAUGAACUGCUAGUAAGAUCACUGAAUAAAUAUACCUCCCGGCCCUAUGCCAGCACUGUGGUCUCUGUGCCUGUAGCCAGAGAUUACCAACUCCCGGCCCAAUGCCUGCUCCGUGUCCCUCAGCCCGUAGCUAGAGAGUAUUUCUCCUAGCCUAUUUGCCAACACCAAAUCCUCGCCCCAGGCGGUAUAGUGUCCACUAGUACGCACAAGUAGUUACGUCUCUCAUAAAUAACCACUUCAUAGUAUAAAGCCAUCCAUCGUCUAUACUAUAAAGAGGGGGUUUCUAAAACAUGUUCUAGCAUCCUAUCGUCAUCCAUCAGAUAGUCUACCAGUUCAUGUUUUUUUUUUAUAGAAAAUACGAUAUAUUAAAAUAUAGCUCAAUAUAGGCCAACAAUUAAUUCCUCACAAAAAACGAGAUGAUAAACAGCAUAUUCCAUAAACAUGUUUAACAUAAAAUUAGUUCAUAAACUCGUAAGGCAUGCAUUUCAUUUAUGCAAAUUUUAGAAGGGGUCCACUCACAGAUACUCAGUAGUAGCAGAGUUGUGCGGAAAAGGAUUAAGAAAAUCCCCACUAGCAACUUCACCUAAGCACAAAAAUGUACAAUUUAUCAAACUACCCAACUAUAGAAUUUCAAGAAAUGGAAAUGGGUCUUGGGUUUGGAUCCGAAUUAGGGUUUAUGUUUAGGUUAAAUAGGGUUAGGACCUAUUGGGUUUUGGGUUUGAAUAGUUUAAGAACAAAAAGGGUGGUUUGGGCUUGAGCCCAAACCCACACAACACACACAUACACACGCCAGCACACACACAUGCACGACACAACACACACACACGGCACAACACACACAUACACACGUGCACCACACACACUCACACACACUCACCAAAAACAUAUUGAGGGGAGGAGAAGUCGAAUCCACCUCGGAUUCGAUGACUUUUGCUCAGAAACUGCAAAGCAGUAUGAGGGACUUGCAUUCAUUAAAAACAAAGGUUUCCACUUGAAUUUCCAUCACCAAAACCUCAUAAAUAUACAUAAGAACUAACCCAGAUGCACUGCAGUAGGUUUUGGGAAGAGAUGGACCUCGAACUCGUUGGAGUUCAUCCUCAUUCUCUUGUCAGAUUCUGGAAACAAUAAAUAAGGAACAUGCAUGUUAGUUCUUAUUAAUUUCUAGCCAAAAACCACAUGCAAGAAGGAGAUUAGUCACCAGGGAUGUUUUUCAGAGGAGUCCGUGCACUUCCAGUCACAAACUUGCUAGAGUUUGCUCGGAGAAGACCACUGAAAUCUGAGCUCCACCUUAGGAAGCUCGGGGCUCUCGGAGCUCACAAGUUCAAACCUUUCCUCAUCGCUGAUCACACAUACAAAGGUAUAAAUAGACUCCCUAGGCCAUGGUGAUGCAGGAAAUAAGGGUUUGGGGUGGGGUUGAGUGACGGAGAAUGGCAAAGGUGGUGUCUCUCGGUACUAGAAAGAGAACAAAGAGAUAGAGUUAAGAGUUAGAGAGAGAAAGUUUCAGAAAAUGGGAAGGCAGGUCACGGGGUGGGGGAAAAGGGAAGAAAAAAAUGGGGAGUUAGGGUGCUGCCAAGUGGCAUCUAGGGAAUGGAGAGAAAAUAAAGAAUAAAAAUAUUUGAUUUCAAUAAAACUUUGGGAAUUUAUAAAUUACAUAUAAAUUCGGGGGUGGGGUUUAACAUGUAUUCACUCCAGUUAUCUUGUACUUUAGAUUUAUUGGACUUGUUUUGAACCUUAAAUUCUUGAGUGUUCUCUUAGCCUUCUUGGCAUAGCUAUUCGCUAAUUCGAGAGAAAUUUUCAAUGAAUCAGCUCGUUUAGGCGUUGUGAAUCACAUUGUUCUGGUUUUUGGUGUAUCGUCACUUUUGUACCUCAUAGUGAUGUGCGUUUCAAUUCUAAGACUUGUGAAAUUUUCUUGAAGGCCUUGAGUACUAAGUUGUUUGUCUUGUAUCGCAUUUUUAUUCGUAGACAGUUGGAUAGUCUGAACGAACUAUCUUGACCUUGGAAGCCGUGUUGUGUUAUUUUGAUUUGUGGUUUUUGAAUGAUUAGAAUUUGUACCGACCUCUUUUGGAGUAGUUACAACGAUAAUUUUUAUUUUCAGUUUGAGUAUGGCACUAUUUGAAACUUGGUUUGAUAGAUUCUAUUGGCAGCACUGGUUGGAUAGUGGAGUUCUAUGAAUUGGUUUUCGGAUGUUUGAUUUCUUUUCGUUAUGGGAAACUGUGUGCUUAUGUUGUUGUCAACUUGGGUUUGGACAAAUUGGUAUGUUUGCACCCUUAGGAAAUUACUACUUGCUUAUUGAGACAACUAUGUGUUGUCGAUAUCGCGGGUGGCCGACUGUGAUAUCGAUGGCUUAUUCGUUGGGUUCGUUAAGCAAGUGGAUUGGUAGACCUGUCUACAAUAGUUGUUAUUGUUUAGUUAUUGUUGGGGUAUGUGACGUUACAAAUGCUUGGGCGAGACCUACUUUCAUUUUCGAUUUUGAUUUUCAGUACAAGUAUUUUGAUUUACCCUAUAUUAGUUAUAUAUAUUGUAUUUUUGACGUUACAGAUAUUUGGUCGAGUCAUUUCCACUUUCAUUGGUAAGUUCAGUAUGAGUUUUUCAACCUUUAUGUUAGUACAUAUAUAUUUUGACGUUAUCGUUUUAUACAUGUUAUUAUAUAUUUUCGACAUUAUAUCUGUAUAAAGUAUGUUUCUACUUUUAUACUGAUGGGGGAAGAAGGAAUGCGCCUGGAGGCAUCAAAGAGAAACCAUUGCAACCCGCUUUUGACUGUGUGACAUAUUCUCUUUGAUGCAACCACUCUGACUUGAUUUAUUCUUUAUACAUAUAUUCCUUCAUAUCUUCGAGUAUUUAUGUAUAGUAAGUUAUUUCAAAUUGCGAGAUGAAUUUUAUUUUAACGGGGGUAGAUUGUAACAACGCGUCCCGAAUAAUCUCACGGAUUUUAGAACGGAAAGGCGUUAUGAUAAUUUCAUUGGAGUUAGGAUAGAUAUUUGAAAAAGCUACUAUUUGGGUGUUAAAUGGUGUGCCAAGUGGGGCCCACUUUCUUUUUUGUCCCCCUGCCCACUUGUACUUCUCUCUUUCCCCUCCUCGUGACAACUCUCGGACCACUCACUAUUUCCAUCUUUUUCCCUCCUUACAUCCAAUUUCCCUUGAACACCACACACACACACACACAUACACCCAUUCCUUCCGUCGAACACCAUCACCCACCACCAUCGUUGGGCCUUGCUAUCUCUAUCUCUCUCUCUCUCUCUCUCUCUCUCUCUCUCUCUCUCUCUCUCUCUCUCCCUCCCUCAUUCUCUGUGAAGCACAGAGACCACCCAACAUGCUUAGCACACCCAUUCGCCGACAUAUGCUACUUUUCCGACUUGGUAAGGUUUUAAACCCAUUUUCUUCAUCCUUCCUUCGUCUCGAGUUGAAGACUAACUCCCUUGUACAUGUGCUGGACACUAAAUAUGAAAAAACCUACUCGGGGAAACUUCCCUAGUUUCCGGCGAGGAACCCGUAGCUUGCACCUUGUUCCUUGGGCUUCAUUUUGGUAUAUUACGUGAUAGGUUUUAGUUGGGUUUUGGGGUUGAACGAAGCUGGAAAGGCUCUGGCUUUCUUCUUCCUCGAAACGGCCAACUCGUCCUGGAAACAGGUCAAACCCGACUCGGAAACCCUAGAUCGGCCCAACUCGUUGGGCCAUGGAACCCUGCCCAAUUGGCAAGCCUAACCCCAAUAAUCUUGAAAACCAGAUCCAUUAGCCCAAACCCGAAACCCUUUAGCCCAGUAACCUGCCUAUCCCAAAACCCUGGCCAACGCGUGGGUGGCGCGUGAAGCACACACGCCUUCACUGGAGGUACUAUGGCAGCGCCUGCGACUUUUUCCUCCUUAGGUUUUUCGACGUCCUGAAUACGUUUCCGACAUUCAUUUUCCCAAAUUCAAUCGUUGUAGUAUAGUGUUAUUAAUUGGUACCUUUAUGUGCUUAGGUGCUUUUGUUUAUGGUAUUUUUGUCCUUUCUUAUUUGCACGGCUCUUCGACGACGAAGUAUUUGUGAGUGGAGCCUCUCUAAAAAUGCAUACAUGAAAGCAUGAUUUUAUGGUUAUGUUAUAUGAAACGUUUAUGAGUAAAUUAGAUUUACACUUUAUGAAAUAUCAUGCUCUAUCGAAAAACUGUUCAUUGAGACAUUUAUGAUAUGAUGUUUGUAUUGAGCUCCGAUGAUAUAUAUAUAUAUAUAUAUUGGAAAGAUUAUGUUCAUGAUUUUAUGUGCUUACUUAGUGGUUAUCCAUAUUAUGAGCCUACGGGCGAUUGAUACUUAUAUUUGGCUUUAGUCGGGUGAUGUAGUGGCUUCGGUUGGAAGAUAUUCAUAUAUUUGGCUUCGGUCGGGUGAUGUAGUGGCUUUGGUCGAUUAUGAUAACACUACUAAGCACAUUAUAUAUGAUAUAUGUUUUAUGAAAGGUUUUAUGGCAUGCUAGGGUUUCAGAAAACCUAUUACUUACUAUGUUAUUUAGUUUUCAUAAACUUUGGGGGUUAUUAGAUUAGUAAAUAAUUGUUUCAUUACUACUUACAUAUCAACUUGGUCCACUUAUAUUUUGUUUUGCGGGCCUCAGGACUUAGAUUCGAGGCGUACAAUCUCGGCAUUAAGGCACUCCCGCAUUAGCAUCUUUGAGUCCUCUUGAUGUAGGACUCAUUCAUUUGUUCAUUCAAUUUUAUAUUAUUCAUUUUUAGUGUCUUGGAUUAGUUGUAUGCUCUAAACACAUUCCACAAUUGCAUAUUCAUUAUAAUUAAAUUUAUAAGUUUCAUUUAUGUUAGUUAUUUGUUUUUAGUUCCCAUGCAUUCUUUUAUAGCUUCGUCACCUUCAAGUGUCGGCCAGCAUGUGCAUACCCUGGUGUUUGGAAGAUAUCAGGGUCGGGCAUGUCAAUUUGGUAUCAGAGCAUGGUUUGUUCAGAGUAUACUUAGGAUCUUUGUUACUACAGUAGUGUGUUGGUCAUAACAUUAUUUGGAUGUCACGACUUCCGUAUUUGGUGUCAUUCAGCACAGUUGUGCGAACCUUUCUCUGUUUGAUUUGUCACAUUUUAUUUGAAAUACAAGAAUUCGUGUCGGGAUUAUGCCUCAUCAGUGACGAAAUGGAUUGUUGGACGACUUUCAACAGCGGACCGAUACUUUGCAACAUACGUCCCCUAGGAAUUGCGAGCAUAGUCGGUUUUACAUUGAAAUGACCUGAAUUAAAAAUCUAAGUAAGAGGAAGUCUGGUUAAUACCAGCUGAAGACCCAAGAUGGCGAUGCUACUCUGCAACAUGCGUUCCUUAGGAAUUAUGGGCAAAGUAGGAUCUACAUAAGAGUAUUGGGAAAUGGAAAAAUCUUAGUAGUAUGAGUUGGUUAAGACCAACUAGAGGUUCGAAACGGUGAUGCUACUCUGCAACAUGCAUUCCCUACAAAUGGCGGAUAGAGUCGUAUCUACAUAAGAAUGUUGUGAAACAGAAAAUUUUUGAUGGUAUACAUUGGAUAAGACCAGUUUGAGAUUUGAAACGGUGAUGUUACUCUGUGACAUGCGUUCCUUAGGAAUGGCGGGCAAAGUCACAUCUAUAUGGAAAUUGCUCGAAACAUCUGAAGUUCGUGUUGGAAAGUAAGCAUUAGUCGUUGUGAAGUUUAGUAAGUGUUAGUUUGGUGGGAUCGAAUCAAUGUCCUCUGACUUGUUCCCGCUGAGGAAAUUCGUGUGGAUCCUUAGAACAAUUCUCGACGAUUGUUCUAUCGAUAAUCUUUUUGCUUACUCCAACAACAAGGUCAAGUUCACUAAUCUUUGACUGUUAGCUAUACACCAAAUUCUUCGAGCGUUGGCUUUGUUAAAAAUUAUAUACUUUUCUUGGGAGAUUCUUUGGUAGCAGAUGAUAUUUUCAUCAGUUUCCAAAAGGGGUUACGACUAUUGGAAAUUGAAAAUCCUUACAAGGUAUUGUGAAGUAUGAAAUACCCUUAGUUUUGUCCAUUUCUAUUAGCAGUUCUUAACUAUUCUUUGAGCUUAGCCCUAUUUCCUUUUGGCUAAGAAACCAGUCAAUUUUAUUGCAAUGCUGAUGGUGAACCAAGGUUUUUACAAUGGGGUAUUGUCUCAUCUGAUCGUAGUUCUUACACUUUUCGAAUUCUGCAAUGGUGUAUUAUUAAGUGUUUGGCUGCAAGCUGAUGCAACAUGAUCGAGUUACGCAUGUGCCUUUUGAUGAUUGGAUCUGCAUGAUGUGAACCAUCCUAUCCUUGACCUAGAGCUGAUAACGAUUUUCCUUGCUAUAAAAUUUGGUGACGUUUUCUCUACAUCGAGAAAUGUUGCAUCAUUUUUUACCAAAUAAGUUGUAGUGUGUUUUCACAUAGAAUUAGUUGAGAACUCAUCAGUGAGUUGAUUGCACCUUUACGUACUAUCAUGGUCAGGCAACUAUAGUAGCUAAUGCUUUUAGUCAGAAAUCCCAUGGACAGUUUACCUCUAUCCGAACUAUCCAUGUCCCACUAUCGUUUUCUCUUCGAAGAAUUAGCUUUACUUUGGCGUCCGACUCACGAUGAGUAUUGUCGGCUCACAUUUCAGCGUAUGCCAUGCAUUCUUGCAGUAUUAAAUGGUACCACAAUGUUCAUCCACUUUAUUACUGGUAUUGUAUGAAUGGUAUAUCGAGAAUAUCGAAUUUGUUGAUAGGUGAGUGUCACAUUAGGGUUGCGAACGGAUGCUUGGGUGAGACCCACUUUCAUUUUUAAUUUUGAUUUUUUAUACAAGUAUUUUGGUUUACCCUAUAUUAGUUAUAUAUUGUAUUUUUGACGUUACAAAUGUUUGGUCGAGUCAUUUCCACUUUCACUGGUAAGUUUAGUACGAGUUUUUCGACCUCUAUGUUAGUACAUAUCUAUUUUGAUGUUAUAGUAUUAUACAUGCAUAUUUUUGACCUUACGUUAUUAUAUAUUUUCGACAUUAUAUCUUUAUAAAGUAUGUUUCUCCUUUUAUACUAAUGGGGGAAAAAUGUAUGAGCCUAGAGGUAUCAAAGAGAAGCCAUUGCAACCCGCUCUCGACGGUGUGGUAUAUUCUCUUUGAUGCAACCAAUCUGACUUGAUUUCUUCUUUAUACAUAUAUUCCUUCAUAUCUUCGAGUAUUUAUGUAUAGUACGUUAUUUCAAAUUUCGGGAUGAAUUUUUUUUAACGGGGGUAGAUUGUAACAACCCGUCCCAAAUAAUUUCACGGAUUUUAGAAUGGAAGGGCAUUUUGGUAAUUUCAUUAGAGUUGAGAUAGAUAUUUCGAAAACGCUACUACUUGGGUCUUAAAUGGUGUGCCAAGUGGGGCCCACUUUCCUUUUUGUCCCCCGGCCCAUUUGUACUUCUCUCUUUCCCCUCCCCGUGACAACUCUUGGACCACUCACUCUCUCCAACUCUCUCCAUCAUUGCAUCCCCUUUCCCCCGAGCACCACACACGCACACAUACACCCAUUCCCUCCAUCGAACACCAUCACCCACCACCAUCGUUAGGCCUUGCUCUCUCUCUCUCUCUCUCUCUCUCUCUUCUUUUCUCUAUGAAGCAUAGAGACCACCCAACGUGCUUAACACACCCAUUUGUCGGCAGGUGCUACUUUUUCAACUUGGUAAGGUUCUAAACCCAUUUUCUUCGUCCUUCCCUCAUCUCGAGUUGAAGACUAACUCCCUUGUACAUGUGUUAGAUGCUAAAUCUAUGAAGAAAACUACUCGGGGAAACUUCCCAGUUUUCGACGAGGAACCCGUAGCUUGCAUGUCAUUUUUCGACCAACUUCAGCCACCUCUCGAUUGCUUAUUGGUAUGAAUCUCUUCCUUGUUCCUUAGGCUUCAUUUUGGUAUAUUGUGUGACGGGUUUUAAGUGGGUUUUCAGGUUGAACAGAGCUGGAAAGGCUUCAACUUUUUUCUUCCUCAAAACAGCUAACCAGGCCUGGAAAUGGGUCAAACCCAACUCGAAAAUACUAGAUCGGCCCAACUCGUUCGACCAUGGAACCCUACCUAAUUAGCAAGCCCAAUCCAAUAACCUUGAAAACCAAAUCCAUCAGCCUAAACCCGAAACCUUUUGGCCCAAUAACCGGCCCAUCCCAAAACCCUGGCCAGCGCGUGGAGCACACUAUGCUCUACCUCCGUUCACCGUGGUGCCAGUGACUUUUCCUACCAAUUUUUUUACGAUCGAAAUCGACACAUAGCUAUGCAUGGCAGUUCAGAUCGUCGCCCCAUGGUGGCGCGUGAGGGCGAGUGCGGCAGGAUGUGGGGGUACGUGAGGUUUCCCUUUAUAUUUUUCGAGGUCCUGAAUCCAUUUCUGACAUCCGUUUUCUCAAAUUUAAUCAUUUUUGUAUACCGUUAUUAGUUGGUACCUUUAUGUGCUUAGGUGCAUUUGUUUGUGGCAUUUCCGUAUUCUCUUGUUUGCACGGCUCUUCGACGGCGAAGUAUCUAUGAGUGAACCCCCUCCAAAAUGCAUGUGUUUACUAUUAGAAAUGCAUACAUGAAAGCAUGAUUUUAUGGUUAUGUUAUAUGAAACAUUUAUGAGUAAAUUAGAAUUACACUUUAUGAAAUAUCAUGCUUUAUCGAUAAACUGUUCAAUGAAACAUUUAUGACAUGAUUUUUGAGCUAUUGAGCUCCGAUGAGAUAUAUAAAUAUAUAUAUAUAUAUAUAUAUAUAUAUUUUAUUUUUUUUGGAAAGAUUAUGUUCAUGAUUUUAUGUGCUUACUUAGUGGUUAUCCAUACUAUGAGCCUACGGGCGAUUGAUACUUAUAUUUGGCUUCGAUUGGGUGAUGUAGUGGCUUCGAUCGAAAGAUAUUUAUAUUUGGCUUCGGUCGGGUGAUGUAGUGGUUUCGGUCGGAAGAUAUUCAUAUAUUUGGCUUCGGUCAGGUUAUGUAGUGGCUUCGGUCGAUUAUGAUAACACUACUAAGCAUAUUAUAUAUGAUAUAUAUUUUAUUAAAGGUUUUAUGGCAUGCUAGUGUUUCGAAAAACCUAUUACUUACUAUGCUAUCGAGUUUUCAUAAACUUUGGGGGUAUGUUAGUAAAUAAUUGUUUCAGUAUUACGUACAUAUCAACUUGGUCCAUUCAUGUUUUGUUUUGCGCCCCAUCAGGAUUUAUAUUCGAGGCGUACAAUCUCAGCAUAAAGGCACUCCCGCAUAGGCAUUUUCGAGUCCUCUCGGUGUAAGACCCAUUCCUUUGUUCAUUCAAUUUUAUAUUAUUCCUUUUUAGUGUCUUGGAUUAGUUGUAUGCUAUGAACACAUUCUACAAUUGCAUAUUCAUUAUAAUUAAAUUUACAAGUUUCAUUUAUGUUAGUUAUUUGUUUUUAGUUCUCAUGCAUUCUUUUAUGGCUUCGUCACUUUCGGAUGUCAGCCAACAUGUGCCUACCCUGGUGUUUGGAGGAUAUCAGGGUUGUGCAUGUCAUCUCAUAAGCAAGAAACGUUUAGACUUUGUCUUUUGGGACAUAGUAAUGGCUAGGUACAGAGCUGAGGACGACUAAGACUACCUAUUCAUGGUGGUGGUGAUCUAUGACUCCAAUGUCUUCAAGUCCAACUUGUUGACAAGGUUCACCAGGGACGAGUUUAGCCUUGAGUCCAAGUCCACCAUCAGCGUCGAGUUUGCCGCCCGCAGCUUGGAUGUUGAUGGCAAAGUCAUCAAGGCCCAGAUUUGGGACACUGUUGGUCAAGAAAAGGUUUUUGUAAUUUAUGCUUUGCUAUUUGUGUAAAUGGGUAUUUGGACAUGCCUAAUUGCUAGUUGCUACAUGUAACGUCAUUAAUUCGUAUUGUAAUGAAGAAAGGUUCUCUGUAAUUUAUGCUUUUCGGUUGUUUGUGAAUCAUUAGACCUCAGGUAUUUUAUGGCUUAUAUUAUAUUACUGAAGACUAGGAGACAAUUGAUUAGUGGAAUUUGUAUUUUCAAUUAUGCAUUUUAGUGUUGUUAGGAGAUGUUAAAAUUAAAUUUUAGAUAAUCAAUGAUGAGUUUCUAAGCAUACUUCAUCUUUGUUAACAGAGGUUACUGUCUAAUGGUAAAACAAGCAGAAGAGCUGGUGCAUCAUCUACUCGAAAACCAACUUUAGCUAUGACCAAAUGAGGUUCUGAGAGGAAAAAGAAUUCUGCCUCAAUAAUACUCAGGUUUUUAGGCGUACACGUAGGCAAAAGCCAAUAUAUCAAAUCAAUAUUUUCUAUUAUUUUUCUCCUAGUGUUUGAGUGGUAAAUCUCACUCUUAGCCUUCCAUUGAUCUAGAACAGCUAGUGAUUCACGACCUUCUUCAUCUUUAGAAUCAUUUCUGCUCUCUCGCAUCAUCUUGGAAAUCCUAAUUAACAUGGUCAUAAGUUUCAAACUGUAGAUCAUCUCUCUUAUCAUGGAAAUCAUAGUUACUAUAUGUUCAAGUUCUUGAUUGCGAUUCAAUUCUUGAAAUUCUAGUUCCUAUACCUUCAUAUGGAUUUCAUUAUUUUCAUUGCUUCAAUGUGGGAUGUAACCAACCAAGUAUAAAGAAGGUGAACUUUUAAUGGGUAUUUAAGAAAUAGUUAGUGUUUAGUUUAAAAUAUAGUGAUAGUACUAGUGUUCAGUUUAAGAAAUAAUGAUAGUACCCUUGUUCAGUUCUAGAAAUAUUCAAUGUUCAGUUUAAGAAAUAGUUAGUAUUCAGUUUUAGAAAUAGUCAAUGUUCAGCUUAAGAAAUAGUCAGUAUUUAGUUUAAGAAAUAGUUAGUAUUUAGUUUCAAAAAUAGUGUUGUACUCGUGUUAAUUUUUAGAAAUAGUCAAUGUUCAGUUUAGAAAUAGUGGUAGUACCAGUGCUCAGUUUCAAAAUUAAUGUUGUACUCAUGGAUCGUCGUGGUGGGGCUAUGUCUUUCGAGCGUGUGAAUCAAACUCUCAAUGAAAACACCAAUUUGUGGAUGUAAAUUUCUGCCAUCUUCUCCUUUGACGAAAAUGCUCUUGCAAAAUAAUAACACCUAAGAUUAAGGUCAAAAGCCUCAUGCGCCCACGAUAAAUGGGGGGGCUUUGGCCAAAGAAUCUUCGAUGUCAAAGUUAUUCUGAAAAGAAUGUGUUUAGGAGUUUGUGGGUAGCAAAUGGCCUAACUUUUUAGUGGGAUAAUAUGGGUAUUUAUAGGAGGGUGGCCGGCCCUUAAGGUGGAGAAUGGCCUGCCAUAUAUGGUGGUAUUUGGAGAAGAAUUGCAAGAUAUUAUGUGAAAUAAUAUCUUGCAAUUAACAUGGCAAUUAUUCCUAAAUUAAAUAGGAAGUUUUGGAAGUUACCUUUUGAAUAAAAUCAAUAAGGGAUUGAUGAGGAGUGAUGAGAGGGAUUUGAAUAAAUACCGUAUUGAUCACCUUUGACUCUUCCUUGCCGUUAUUGUCCUUUGCAUGCAUGUGGAAAUCCCGGUGUGUCUCGAGGGUGAUCUUGUAUUUUUCACUCAAAAGUCCACGUAUCACUUCCAAGAUUUUUUGGAAUCUUUUUUGCUCCACAAAUGUCCCACACCUGCUGGGAUAUUCGCAAGAAAAAGCAGUAUGUGUAAAGAUCUCUAACUUUGAUGUAGAUUCCCACUUGGACUUGGAAUUAGAUUCUUCUAGGAAAGGAAAUUAAAUCACCACCAAAGCCUACUUAAGCCUACCUUAAGUAAGGGAUUAAAUCAACUUCGGAGGGUAAUUAUGUAUCCCUACAAGAAAUAGAGAAAGCUAAAGGAUAUUUGUUCCCUCUUCCCUAGCAUUCUUCUUUGCUUACCCUUGCAAAAAAUCGUAUUCCGUUGAUUUCUUUGUCUUCUUCUUGGGUGGUGUUGCCGCUGGGCAGCCAUCAGGCUGGUGCGGCACGUCGAUCGACAAGGGUCAGGAGUUAGCUUAGCAUGGACUAAAGAGGUGGUGUGGCAGGGGCCAUGGCUUGGUUAGAGCCAAGGACUGGCUUGGCAUAGGUUAAGGAAGUGGCGUGGCAUGGCAUGGGCCACUGUUUGGGCUGCUCGGCUUGGUUGGAGCCAAGGGUAGCUGCGUAGCUGAAGUCGUGGCUUGAGGCGUUAGGCUGCAGUGCUAGUAUGUUAGCUUGAUUACUGGACCUUCAAUUGAGAAGAAAUCAUUCAGUUGCUAAAGAUGUGUCAAAGCCUCAUAUUUCUGCUAUUGCUACGUUUGUGCUGCUUGCCAAAAAGAAAGAAAUUACUUAAGUUUGAUUUCUCAAUUGCCGUAGAUAGAGCAAUCAAAGAUGGUGCUGCCAAGAUCGAAACUACUGAAGAUGAAGUGCCGGAUGAGCAAACUGAUGAGUGCGAAGUGGUUGUUGGAGAGCCUAAGGUCAUCCAAGCUGUUAAAUGAGUAGUUUGCUAUGUUUAGCUUGUGUCAGUUUUCGGCGACCUUCAUAUAAGUUUAUCAAUUUGCUAGAAAUUUAAUAAACUGCUUUCUUUGCUUUACUCCAUCUUUGUUUUUCUUGAAACUUUGAUUGCUUGAAGCGUCUUGCAAAAAUUUUAGCCAUAGAACCGUCAGUCGGGCACACUACUUCAAAAAAGGCUAACGAUCCCAUAGAAUCACUAUAGCCUUGAGUUUUGGCUUCUUAGGGCGUCAAGCUGAUGAGUUCGUCGUCGACUGCUACCCCUUGACCAUUUGCUACUUAGCUGGUAUUCGAGUAUUCGAUCAUUUAAGCUAUGUGGCCUGCAUCACAACCUGAUAAAUACCUGUGGAAUUUGAAAAUCGUUAACUAUCACAUCAAAAUGAGUAGUUGUGUCAUGGGCAGUUUACCUCAUUCUGUUGAAGAGUAGACCCAAAUGGGUGUUUGAGAAUUGGUUUAUCCUCUCGCACUGGAGACCUUACUCUGAUGAGUGUCGGGGAAUUGGCUUACCCUUUCGCACUGGAGAGCUUACACAGAUAGGUGUUGGGCAAUUAGUUUACCCUUUUCACACUGUAGAGUAAUUAGUUUACCCUCUUGCACUAGAAAGCUUACUAGAUGGGUGUCGGGGGAUUGGUUUACCCUCUUGCGCUAGAAAGCAUGGAAGUUGUUGUCGUGAACGUAAUUGAGGAAAACUGGACUGCUAGACAACCGAAAUAAUCCUCGGCAUGUGAGGUCUUGUUCGACGAUCUACUUAAGACUUUGAACUAGUUGUAGAGCUCGCUUAAGGGUGUAAGUUGGAAGAGUAGUGAGAUGCUACUGGACCUUCUCCAAGUAUUACGUUAUCCUUAGAUGUUUCAUCAUGUGUUCUUCUGAGGCUUGGUUGGUGGUCAACUGAGAAUCUAAAUAGAUAGCAAGCUUCUUUGCCGCUAAGUCUUUCACUAGUAGAGGCUAAUAGUAAAGCUUUAUAUUCAACUCCGUCGUUGGAUGCUUUGAAGUGUCAUAGGCUUGGUUGGCGAGGUUAGGUGUCGUAGGGCAAAAUCGGCACGGCUGGGAGCUGUGUUGAUAAGUCAUGGGCGGCCGAGAGAUAUGGAGUAGGUCUCAGCAUGGCUAGGAGUCGUGGUGUAAGAUAGGUGUUAUUAUGAGUCGCAAAGCAAGUAGGCUUGGCUGUGAGCGCGGAGUUAGGGUUGGCUUGGACUAGGUUAUGUGUAGCAGAAGGAAUUGGACCACUAAGUCCACGGUGCUUGGCUACUGGCGAUGUGCUGCUCCAGUAUUGAAUCUUCUGGAGUGAUGAGAACGAAACUUACCUUAUGUUCUUAGUAGUUGGAUUAGUGUGUCCUUCUGGUACCCAUUUGCCCAUAAUGUGCCAUUAGGUUGAUUUGUUGCAUUUGUCAAAACAUAAAUAAUCUUUGUAUUCGCAGGUGUAUAUGGAAUGUUCCAUCUACUCAAUUUUGUCAAUGAAAUGCAACUUGCUUAGGUUAGUCAUGUCUCGUCGAAACGUCUUGUAAGUAACUUCGUCGCUUUGGAAAUCGCACAAAUGUUCAGUCAUGAGCUUUUCAACUUUUUUUCUUCUUCAGAAUUUGCCUCUAAUAGAGCUUCUGGUUGCUGCUGGUCCCUGUUGGUCUAGGCUAUCAUUCCCUAUGCGUGGCUCGUCUAUUUCACGGUUGUGGUGCAUGUGGUAUGUUCCUAGCAGGUGAGCGGGCUUCUCACAGGCUACUAGUUGAACUUAAGCGAGAUUGAGUGACUGAUUCUCUUCGUCCAUUGUGCUGCCUACUCUAAUAUAAGAUGAAGGAUGCUCCUUACGGGCCUAGCCAAGAAUAAACACUUCGCCUGUAAGGUUGCUCAUGUUGAUUAUCAAAUUGUGGCCCCAACCGUGAAUGUAUACUCGUCAGUGGGCCUAACCGAGAGUGCACAUUCCUCUGCGCGUUAAAAGAAGAGUAUACGUUAUUUCUGAGGCCUAGUCCAGAGUGUACACUGCUAGAAAACUCUAUUUCGUGGCUGGUCGAAGGGCUGCUUGCCAGAACGCUGCUCGAUAGGUUCGUUGUUUACCCUUAUCCUAUGGCAAAACACCUCGUUUAGGGCACACUGCAUCUCAGUACGCUACAAGAGCUUAUUCACUAAGGUCGUCUGUUGCACGAGGGCGCUUGUCAACUCUAUGACUUGUCGAGACAAGUGUUAUUCGCCAUUUAGGAUAUAAGAGCUUGAACGGUAUGCGUCUUCUUGAGUAAUGGAUGUGUAAUGGACUUCAAGCGUGAGAUUUGAGUUGGGAUAUGUCAAAUCUGCAGAGAAAAUGGGUGAAAAUAACCCUGGUUCAAUUGUCGAUCCAAAAAUCUGAAGUUGGGAUGGUUGAACCUGUCUUGGACUAGUUAGGAUUGCUAGGUAGGCCACAGGAGUGAGCUAGACCAUGGUUGGACCACAGAAGCGGGUUGGGUCACUGAAGCAGGUCAGGUCACUGGCGUAAGCUAGGCCACUAGAGCGUGUGUGCGCUGGGCCUUGGCUUGGCGUUGCAAAAUGGCACUAGUCUAGGCUUGGCGCUGCUCUGUGGCGUAAGCCUAAGCAUGCCAGGCUGCUGUUGCUGGCAUCUGGGCUUGAGCUACUGCAGUGGUAGCAAACUGAGCUGCCUCUAAGGCUUGCGUCUCUUGGGUCGUGGCCUGAUAGUCCCACUGCCUUGAAGCUAGCCUAUUCCCCACUGCCACGGUGCUUCCCAUGGCUGCCAUGGUGGUGGUGCUCCGUGGUGGCAAAGUUUCUCCUCUUGCCAUCGCGUUAAGCCUCGUGGAUCGUCGUGGUGGGCCUACGUCUCUUCAUCCAUCAUUCGAUUCGGAUCUUUGAAGGUACGAAGUUCCGUUCGUUGUGGUUUCCCAAUUUCCCGCCAUUGUAUUUUUCCCUUGCCUCUAUUUAUAGAAUUAAAAAAUUCUAGGAAUAAGAAAGUAAGAAAAAUUUACGAACGAAUGAAAAAUGUUGAAUGCAAGAGUCUUUAUUGAGUGUGUGAAUCAAACUUUAAAUGAAAGCACCAAUUUGUGGAUGCAAAUUUGCGCCAUCUUCUCCUUUGACAAAAAUGCUCCUGCAAAGUAAUAACACAUAAGAUUAACGCUAAAAACCUCACGCAGCCACUAUGAAGGGGGCUUUGGCCGAAUAAUCUCCAAAAGAAUGUAUUUAGGAGUUUGUGAAUAGCAAAUGACCUAGCUUUUUAGUGGGAUAAUAGGAAUUUAUAGGAGGGUGGCCGACCUUUAGGUUGGAGAAUGACCGGCCAUAUAUGGUGGUUUUGGAGAAUAAUUGCAAGAUAUUAUGUGAAAUAAUAUCUUGCAACUAACAUGACAAUUAUUCCUAAAUUAAAUAGGAAGUUUUGGGAGUUACCUUUUGAAUAAAAUCAAUAAGGGAGAGUGAUGAGAGGAAUUUGAAGAAAGAUCAUAUUGAUCACCUAUGACUCUUCCUUGAUUGAGCCGUUAUUGUCCGUUGUAUGUGCGUGAGAAUCCCGGUGUGCCUCGAGGAUAAUAUUGUCUUUUUAACCUAAAAGUCCACGUGUCACCUCAUGAGUUUUUGGAUUAUUUUUUGCUCCACACAUUGCAAUGUCACAAUCGUUUGUGUCUAGAGUUGCUAUCCAGAUCAGGCUCAGUAGUUAGUUGAUUGUAUUAGGUUUUGCAAAUUGAUUGAUUAAUAUCCUUUAUCGCUUGAAUUGUAGUUAUACACUAACUUUUCUGCACUCCCAUAUGCUUGUGCGAUUUAUCACAGGCGUUGCGCUCUGAAAAAUGUUUUAAAUAUAUUUAAUAAUUAUGUAAACGAAAAUGACGUGAUGUUUAAUGUCCUACAUCACAAAUUCACAUAUAAAUACACCAUUUUAAAUUGUAAUCAAAUUAACUUUUACAAAUAUAAAUCAGUGUAGGAAAUUAAUAUAGAUUGAAGGAAAAGGGAAUUAUAUCCGAGUUUGCUUUCGAAAAUCUGUUUGAACUUGUGUUUUUAACCUUAGAUUAAUUUUCUGAACACCUGGAACAGUUUACACUAACAUAAACCAUCACUUUCUGCCAUACAUAUAGAAAUCAAUAGUUUUAAUGUUUGACUAUCCAAAUCUUCAAACAAAAAAAGAAAGAAAAAAAAAACUACAGUUAAUCAAACAUACAGAUCAAAGCAUGGAAUUUUAUGUCUAACCCACAAAUGAAGAGAUGUUACAUCCCACAUCGCCCAGGGGAGUAGAUCCUCUAUGCCUUAUAUGUAUAUUCUCAUAUCUACCUAUCACGAGGCUUUUUGUGAGCUCACUGACUUCAAGUUCCGUAGGAACUCUAACGUUAAGCGAGUUCUUGCGAGAGCAAUCCCAUGAUGGGUGACCCACUGGGAAGUUCUCAUGUGAGUUCCCAGAAACAAAACCGUGAGGACAUGGUCGGGGUCCAAAGCGGAUAAUAUCGUGCUACGGUGGAGUCGAACUCGGGAUAUGGUGAGGGCUAGGCCGAGAUGUGACAAGAGAUCCCCCAUUUGUGAUUCUUCAAGUCAGUUUCCUUCAACCACCAUAAUAAUAAUAAGGAAGUUUUAAUGAAAAGGGUUUGAGCUAAGUUUAUUUUAACAAAAAACUAUUCUAUAAUUUUAUUUAAUAAAAAGUGUUUAAACUUUAAUGCAAGACUUAAAAUUUAAUAAAAAUGAAAUAAUUUUAAUAUAAUACAAAAUAAAAAAUAAUAAAAACUGACGUGCGGGACCCCGUCAUACACACUAUGUCUCCUCCUUUACUAUUUCUUAAACUGAACAUUAACUAUUUCUGAAUUUUAAAAAGUAAAAAAAUUGACUGAAAUUGAAUUCUGAUAUCAAUAGGGGUAAUGUUGUAACUAAACAAAUAAAUGAUCAAAUCAAACAAUUUGGUACCUUGGAUGGGUCAACAUGAUAAAUACAAAUUUAGUGCCUGUCUGGCAUGGGUAAUCUGAGAACUUUCUCAGCGUCUCUGUCGUCAUGUUUUCGAAUUGUGACAGUGGUUUCCUGUCGUAUGGCCAUGGGCAGCACUAAGUAGCAUUCGUAGUCUAUGUGAUCUCUAAUCAAGUUCAUUCUCCAUGAAUCCACCAUCCGACCGCAAAGUCAAAGACCUAGUAAAAUUGAAAACUGAAAUAUUCCAGAGAGAGAUAAAGAGGGACCCACCUAGAGAACGAGUGAAGAGUUAGGGAGCUGGGCCUCAUCGAUCAGGGAGGAGUGGCCAUAGAAGGCAUUGAGGUGUCGUGAAUUGGGACAUGAAUUUUAACAGAGUCUAAAAUGUCAAUUCGAGAUUAGGAAAUCACCCUUGAAUGCUUGGCGCUGGUUUCCAUUGAAGAAAAAGUUGAGAAAGUAAUUGAAAUAAUUUAAACUGAAACGAUAAAGAAGAACUUACAAACUGAAACUUACGGACGGUUGCUUGCCGCUAGAUUCCCAAGGAAGCAAAAUCUUAAGUAGAUACAAUAAAAAAAGAAAACUCAAGUAAGUGGAGCGGUUGUGUUGAGAAAAACGUGGGGGCGGUUGCAUGUGCACAAAGGUGAAGAGGGAGAAGAAGGGAGUUGUGGCUUUUUCUCUUCUUUUUUUUUUUCUCUUUUGUUUUAUAUAUUUUUCCAUGACAAAAAUACCCUUACCCUUUAUCAUUCUAUUUCUUUAGUUGCAAUUUUUUUUUUUUUUUUUUUUUUUGUGAAGCCUUGGACAUUCCUUAAUCAAGCACGCUAGGUGCAACUAUUGCAAAUGUGUCUUCAACCCAAUCAUAUGAUGAUACCUUACAGACAUUUCACAUGUUAAACUAAAUUUGUUUGAUAUAAGGGCAAAGAUUAUUAUUAUUAUUAUUAUUUUGGAAACUAAAUGUUAUAUGCUUGAACAAUAAGUUCAAGGAAUAUGUAAUUAGGAGAAUGUGAUCUAAAGAAGUUAGAUUCAUGAGACAAUUCCCUUUUGUACACAUAUCCUAAACGUUCAUGAUCAUAGGAUUCCCAAUUGGGUACUGACGGUCUGUUAAGACCAGUACGUGCUAUGUCUUUUCUCAGGGAGAAUGACUGGUCUUGAGUCAAUGGAGUGGCUGACACCAAAACAAGUGUGUAAGUGCUCAAUAGAGAAUGAGUCUACUGAACACGAUCAACAAUGAGUUCUCAUACUCAUGUUACAUGAGAACUCAUAGUUAGGAUAAUGCAAAAUAGUCAUUUGACUUGAGGCAUCAUACUUGUGGUUAGGUCCUUGAUCUUUGACUAUGUUAAAGGCACUCGAUAAGAGGGUGUCUACGACAUAGUUGGGGUUAAGCUACUUAAACAUAGAGGCAGGUGAUUAACCUUCAAACCGUUGAGGAAGAAUAAUCUAUGAUAUGAUUAAGAAUCUCUGGAGUAUGAAUGAGAUUUAACAAGUCGUUCCAUAUCACAUUCAAGGUAAUCAUAUAAAAAAGAAAAUCAUAUUGGAUAGUAGACAUGAAUAAACUAUCAAACCAAACAAUGUGAUCAAGAGUACUGUAUUAAAGAAAGACAGUAUUGCAUUUGUAAUCCUAAACUGAAUAGGUUCUCCAACCUCUUUUGAUUAGCUAGGGUAGCUAUGACAUAGUGCUAAGUGUCACUCAUGGUUUGUGGACGCCCUGAAGAUGUUUAAUCACUAAAGGGAGAAUUGAAAGUAAGUUUCAAUUUACAAUCAAUUAGAAAGAGUUUUUAAUCGCCCACCGCCUCUGUAAAAGGAACCUAAUGGAUUGCACACCGUGUAAGGUAAUGAUUAAAGGAAAUAAUGAAGAUGAAUAAGGACAAUAAUUGUAUAUGACAAGGAUUAAUUAAAAGUUAAUUAAUCAAAGACAAAAGGUUCGUUUUAGGCCCUAAGUUAUUUUCAGGUUUCGAGACCCAAAAUGGUUUUGGUCCACAAGGCACAUAAGGUUUAAGUUGUAUAACAACUGAAACAAAAUGAGUAAAUUACCCUAACUAAACACUCAAGACCGGCCAAGAGAGAUGGAUGAUGUUGGUGGACUUAUUACUAGUUUGCCACUCAUUUGGAAUGACUAUAAAAACAACUUUAUAGCUCCAUCUAGGGAUGGCAAUGGUUCGGUUUGGGGACAAAAAUGCUAUAUACAUCCCUAUAACCACGAAAAUUAACGAUAUCCAUAACUGCAAAUUAACCAUCGAGGAUUAUUCAUAACCAUACCCACUGGAUAACAUAUUUCCCAUCGCUUAUUGGUUAUAUCCAUCUUUGUCAAAAACAAAAAAUUAUAUUCAUCCAAUUGGCGCACAAUAAUUUAGUAGAUACUAAUUUUGUCAUUAAAUAGCCAUGUCUAAUAAUAAAUAAAAAAACAUAACAAUGAAUGAAUUUUGUAGAGUAUAAAAAUAAGAGUAUUGAACAAAACAUUGAUGAUGUGAGCUAUUGAUAUAUCCCAUAAGCUUUAUGUUUAGUGCGUAAUGAAAAUAGUAUAGGGUUUAAUGUAUAAGGAAUAUAGUAUAGGGUUUGGUGAAUAGUAUUAUAUUAUAUACUAAAUAUAUUAUGCGGUGAAUAAUGAAUAUGGUAAUAAUGGUAUAGCUUCACACAAAUAUUAUAUAUAUAUAUAUAUAUAUAUAUAUAUAUAUAUAUUAUUUGGUUUGGAUUCGGGGACGGAUACGGAUACGGAUUGGGGGCCUCUAUAACCAUAUUCAAAACCAUAACCAAUUAAAUUCACGGUUUUUCCCCAUAUCCAUAAUAUACCCAAAUUUUCAUACCCAAAUUCGCUUCAUCCGGGCGGUUAUCCAUGGUUAUUGGGUUUAACCAUUUGAAUUGCCAUGUAUAGCUCCAUCCAUCAUUAGGGUUUUCCAAGAGGCAAAGAGAGAAACACAAACUCUCCCAUUCCUCAAGGAGGCUGGCCACCCUAGGACAUUUUAGCUAGCAAUCUUCUUCUCCUAGGUCACUCAUCUUCUUCCUUCACCAAAGAUAUAAAGUUUCUCAACUCUUUUGUGAUUAAAGUUGAGUCUUGGUUCACCACCACUACUAGGCUUUUAAUUUCAUGGUCUAAAUUUUGUUUUAAAGUGCAUAGAAGCAUGCUUCCACCAUUUAAUUGUUAAAUGCAUGCAUUGUGUUGCUUAAUGAAGUUGGGUUUUCAAAUAUUUUCCUUCAAUGACUAACACCUUUUAAAUGUAUGUAUCUACGUGGAUUGCUUUACUUUUUGUUUUGUUUUUUUUUUUUUUUUUUUUUUUUUUUUUUUUUUUUUGCAUUAUGAGACAUAUUAUAAACACAAAAGAAAGGCCAUCAUCAUAUCACAUAAUACAAGCAGAAAUUUGGAAUUUAUAGAAGUCGAGGGGAAAUACCCAAACAAAGGUAAAAGAGUAUCCUAACAUUUAGAACAUUAUAUUUAAGAAGAGACGGAUUUCUAAAAUUAUCCGUGUGUUUUUUGUCCACAAUAUAUUUAAAAAAAAAACAAAGAAAACCCUUAUAAUUUUGUUGCAACUAAAAGCUAAAUAAAAAUUAUUAUAACAAUCCAAGAACCUUAAUUCACCUUGAUACACUUGACAGUGAAACAUAUCCUUAACUCAUAUCGUCCAAUUGAAAAUCUAAUGAGUGUGGUUAAAAUUAAAUAUUAGCAUUAUUUGUAAUGAAUUGCAAUAAAAGUUGAAAAGUGAAUUAACAUCAAAAUAAAGAAUGUAACCUUAUCAUAAACUCGAUGGAAGCAAAAUAUCUUUGUACACAAUAUUUCCUGUGAAGACUUUUUUUUUUUUUGGUUAAAUCCUGUGAAGACUCCUUCGUGAUCGUGUAAUUCUCCUUUCUUUACUAAAACUUUUGUUGUAGACGCUGAAACACCUCUUGAUAAAGCCAUGUACAAUUGUCCAUGAGUGAAACAUGGUUUAGUAAAUAAAUAUCCCCAUUUGGUAUUUGUCUGCCCUUGUGAUUUAUUUAUGGUUUGUGCAAAACUCAAUUUCAUAGGUAACUGUUUUCUCAUCAUUUUGAAUGGGAGUCUAACACUUUCUGUGGUCUUUGAAGAGAUUCAUGGUAAAAACAUUCUAGUUCCAGCAAAUUGUCCAUAUAAGAUUUCAUUGUAAAAGCAAAAUACAAAUUCUUCAAACGAAUCACAAAUGUUAAUCAAAUUCUUCAACGCAAUAACACUUAAUCUACCCUGAAAACUGAAAUAAAUUCUUCUGCUUAUUGCUACUCACCGUUUCCUCUGCAACAUUUAGGGUAAUAAUUAAAAAUUAUAAAAUAAUUUCCAAGACUAUUUGAUACUACUUUCCAAAAGUUUUGCAAUCUCAAUUAACAAAGAAAUAAUCAUAAAAAUGUGAUUUAUUCAUGUAAACGCAUGGUAUUAGCUUACCGUUAAACUACUUCAAGCAUAUGAUAGGAAGUAGCGUGACAUAGUGCGUUCUAAAAAAAUUAUAGCGGACAAGUUGAAACCGGUACCAGGUGGAAUAGCCUACAAUUAAAAAUUCUAUAUAUGCUUGACUGACUAGUCAGCAACACAAGUCAACUAAGACCAAGUUUGGUAGUUAACCUGUAGCGGAAUUAAUCUAUUAUAAACUAGUUACACAUGAUGUUUUUGACCGAAAAAAAUCCACCUCUGGGUUAAAAAACCGAGGACUCUCCACUGAGUCCAAUCCAUUAGUAUAAAUAAGGUUCUUAUAAAGUACCACACAAAGGGACUCUCCACCUUUGUGCAACCUUACUUUGCACAAAAAGAUGAUUCCUUAGGUGUUCACGAAGUGGCAGCUCCUCCUGAGCUCUUCACCUUGUGGCAUAGAAACCAAAUCAACUAGCAAAUGAUGUUAUGAUGAAGCUGAUGCAAAUCUGGAUUCAAUGUCCAGUCAAACAGUUGAAAGAAGAAACUGACGUGAAUCCAAAAUGACGCCAGUUUAAAGAUUUAAAACUAAAAAAACUUGACCAAAAAAUUAAAUCAAAAUUACAAGGAUAAUGCUACCUUAAUAUGCAAUGAUGUGGGUAUUUAGUUCAUGAAUGUGAUUUUGUGGCUAGGGUUUCUAAUGAAGAACAUAAGAGGCAGCUCAAAGCUAAAACACACUUCUUCUUUUUUUUCUAGAAAUCCAAAACACCUAGCUAAAUUGAAAUGAACCCUAGAUUGAUAUUUUAAAGAGGACAGAGGUUUCAGACAAGAAGGGGGAACCAAAAAGACAUUUUUCAUGCGCAAAAGCAAUCUGGAAAGAUCUAGGGUUAAGAAUCUACUAUUGGGAAAAAGUUGUCAGAUGGCCCAUGUGGGUUGUCUUAAAGUGUGACCCAGCUCGGGUGAAAGUAGCGAGAAUAUUUAACUAGACAGAACCCUAGACAUAAUGAACUGGAAAUAUUAGCAUGAAAUGCAUAUGUAUGAACAAACCUUUGAUCUGAGAAGUUAAGCUCUUGAGAGAAUAUUUCCAGCAGCAAGAUCUUAAAAGUGACAUUUGAACCCUACAUCGAACUAGAGCAUGGUGGUACAAUUUACAAGAUUUGACAAGGGAAGCCAAACAAUAAUUCUAGACUUCACAAUCUCUCCUUUUGGCUUUCCUUAACAAAAUAACCCAAACCUAGAACUAAAUUCACUUAACCUCACUCAAGAGAACCCAAAGAACUAAUCCUACAUAAAAGUACUCUUGACAAGAACAAGUGAAACAUUAUCAUGGGUAAAGCAUUUGUAAGGAAUGUAAAUUGUAACAUUGUAAAUGAUUGCGACAAAAGAUUUUUCUCCCCCAUUUUGUAAUGGCAAAGACAAAAGAUUUAAAAAUGGCAUGCCAAUCCAACAAAACUGGGUAAAUUAUUAACCACAUGAAGUGUACAAGUACUAACACAAGGACAUAACAAACAAGAUUAAGCACAAGGUACAAUUCUCGGUACCAAAAUAUUAAAAGCAAUUAACUUGUCCAGAACAACUAAGUUAAUCAAAGAGUAGCACAACCAAUAAGUUACAAAGAGCGUUUCAAUAUGAAGUUAAAAACAAUUGUCCAAAAAUCAACCUAGCAAAAAAUGAACUACCUCAUAAUGUGUGCUAUCGUAAGGACCUACACCACAACAACACUCCCCUAUAAGCUAUAACUCCUCAGAAUGAGACAAUACGUCCAAACGCAUAGAAGAACUAGAUGCAUCAGUUUUAGCAAUCACAUCUUCAUUUGCAACAUUAUUAUCUUCAUCCUCAUCAUCAAAGUACGUAAACUUGACAUGCUUGGCUUUGGAAACCGGAUAAAAAGGCAAUGGUAGAUCAUCAUGAAGAGAAACUCGUUUCCUUUUUACAACAUAAAUAGCAACCAUUUUAGCUGCCACAACACUAGAGUGACUAAACGAAUUAAUAGUAAAGUAGGAGGAAGAUGAUGGAACCAUAGGACAAUGGGGAACCAACUUCGGAGGACGCACGUACAUAUGGCUCGGGUACAAAUGAUGGGGGAUUUAAGGAAGAUUGACUCAAGAACUUAGCAGGAGAGGAAUCACUAAUCUAAGGUAAGGACAUAGUUUGACACAUUGAAGAUUGAAACUCGACAAACUGUCUACGAAGAGAGUUAAUCUCAUAUAGGUAAACAAUUUUUCGUUCUCGAGAAACACUUAGUGAUGGAAGAAGAUGAAGAUCACCAUGAGCGGCGGCACACAUCACGUCACUCAGGUUCAUGAGCCUUUUUCCAAAUCCUUCAUGGAUCGAGCACACAAAUCAUCAAAACGAAAAGGAACACCUACACACUAAGACAACAAAGUGAUAAGACACGGUUGAAUUGGAAAACCCAUUUGUUGCUUACCAGAAUGUUUGGUUUUAGAAAGAAUUGACCUAAAGAUUAAGUACCCAAAUGGAACAUCUGACAGACUCACCAUAACAUGCAAUAUUUUGGCUAACUCUAGAGUAAGAUUUCCAUUGUUUGAUGUGCCCAGAAAAUUUCUACGAAUAAAGUCAGACCAAAUCCUGGAAAACAGCUUAAGACGAAAUUUUGACACUUGAUUCUUAACCAGAGGAAGAGAUGGGUUAACUAGGCUUGACAAUGAUAAGAUUUCAUGUCAAAGUGACAUGUCAGAAGGUUGAAGUUGUACAUAUUAGAAGCAGAAAGGUUCAAGACCUAAGAUAGAAUUAAUAACAGUUGAAUCGAAAUGGACAAGGACUCCAUGGACAUACUCCUCACCACCAGAGUCAGAAAACUUAGAUGAAACAUUUGCAUUAAAUUCUUGAACCAUUGAAAGAUUGAAGGUAGAAGGAGGUGAAGUUACCCAAUGAAGUUUGUACCUUUUAAAAAGAUCAUCGGACAAGAUGGCAUCAGCCACAAAAGGUCAUCCCAGACAAUCGUCUCUCAAGAAAAACCUUCUUGGCAGCCACAAUCACAAAUAAUUUCUUGCCUCGAGAUGUGGGAAACAUGGGUGGCAGAGCAUCUGAAGGUUCAGUAGGGACAUCUCUCGCAAUUUGAGAAUGCAUUUUACAACGAGAAAGAUGAGGUUAUGAACUGGAAUGUCAGGAUGAAGAUAGUUUCAUAGACAUGGCUAAGAGAAUUCUAGUGGCUAAGCGAUGGAGAUCUAGAGGGAAUGAAAUGCCUCGUGGUAAAAAGUGAAAGUGAAAACCUAGAUAGAUUAAAAGAAGUUACAGCUUAGGACACUGUGAAACAUAUCUGGACCAUAGAGAUGACACAAUCAUAUGAGAUGGAAAGGUUAAAACAUGAAGUGCAAAGAUAGAAAUACCCUUAAUGAACACUUCAUUUCUGACAAGUACCAGUGACUGGAUAGAAAAACCAAGCGUGACUUUUUAAACUAGUUUGGUGCAACAAUCAACAACCAUACGAGAAAACACACUUAAACAAAGCACCCUUAGAAAAGAUGAUCACCAUCUUGGCACAAUUAAACUAAAGCUAACUAGAUAGUUCUCUCAGAGAAUGAAAGAGUGAACAACUCUAAUAUCUAUGCUAGGGGUGGGCGCAAUGCGGUUCGGUGCAGUAUCGAGUGAAACCACAACCGAAACCGAAAAUUUUUGCGGUGCCGUUUUGAAGCCAAAACCGAAAUGAAACCAAACCGUUUGGUUCGGUUCGGUGCAGUUUCAAACGAUUUUGGUUUGGUUUUUGAGAAAAAAAUGUACAAUUUAAAAUAUACAUUUAUUUAUGCAUAAGACGGUCCUAUUUUCCUCAUAUAUUAAUUAAUGAAUAUGCAACAAAAUUGUAGCAAAAACAACAACAACAAUGCAACAAAAAACAAUGGCAAAACUGCAAAAAAAAUGCAGCAAAACUGCAUAAAAACAUAGCAAAACAACAAAAAAAAACAGCACCAAAACUGCAGCAAAAAACUCAACAAAGCUUCACCAAAUAUGCACCAAAAAUGUAGCAAAAAACUGCAGAAAAUCUGCCCCAAAAUUGCAACAAAUUGCAACAAAACUGCACCAAAACUACACCAAAGAUGAGUUUUAAGAAGAUGAGUUAAGGAGAUGAAGAUGUGUUUCAACCUUCAGGAGUCGAAGUGCAAAACUAGAUGAUAAUGAUAGUCUAGUAACCUAGUUGAACUAAUUAAAAAUUUAAAAUAUAACAUUUAUUUAUUAAUUUUAUUAUAUGGUGCGGUUUCGGUUUCGGUGCGGUUUUGAAAAUCCAAAACCACAACCAAACCGUUUUCUUUACCGCAGUUCGGUUUCGAAACCGAAACCAUUUCAAAACCGCAAAACCAAACCGUUUGGUGCGGUUUGAUUCGAUUUGUGUUUUGGUUUCGGUUUUCGGUUCCAAGUGCCCACCCCUAAUCUAUGCUUACAAAAGAAAGGCCUAAAUUAGACAAAGACUUGAACUGAAACAUGUAAUGCACUUCUCACAAGAAAAAUCUUCACGAUCACACAAAGGCAGUAAGGCAAAGAUUAACACAAGCUCAUAGUGCAAUUGUGAUGUGUCAAGGUAUGGGAUUGAGAUUGGUGAUAGCCAUCUUCAAAUCAAAACUCCAAACCACUCAACCAAAUAUUAACUCGGAGGUUAACCAAACUUUUAGUAAUCUUUUGAGAUUAAGAGUCAACACUUCCAGCAAAAUGUGAACAAGGAACAAGACACAAAACUACUCACUAUGACAAGCCAAGAUCACAAAGUUUUGAAGGCGGCAAGUGGUAAUGAGAUACACAAGCCAUAAGUAAAGGUUGGUGCACACCUCAAGAAACUUUUGAACUUUUAUGACAAGUGGAGAUAAUUUGAUGAAACAUGACAUUGCAUAGGGGAACACAAUUGAAGGGAUGAAUGUUUGAGAUCCCUUUUUUUGGAUAUUUGAGUAUGUUCCCCAUAAUUGAUGAUAUUGAAGCCCAUAGAGAUAUAUAAGUGGUAUUUGCACUGGAAAUGAAUCAAAGUUCAAAUUAGAGAGAAGUGAGGUCAGUAAACCUCAAUCAAGACCAAAGUAAACUUAAUCCCUAAGUCCCUAAGUCCCUAAGUCAACACAAUUUUUUGUUGAAUAGAGAGAACAUUUUUCAAAGGCUAUCAACGACAAUAUGGAGAACCUUUGACAUCACAAUGGAAGAAUUAUCCAAGAUUAAUCCACAAAAUACAACCAUGUAUGACAGUUAAGAUAUGCAAAUAGAGAGGAAUAGAAUUAUCUGAUAAGAUGUUUAACAUGACAUACAAUAACAUAAACUAAACAUGCAACAUGAAAUUGCAAGCAUAGCUAUUCAAUAUGUUCAAAUGAUGGCACAAAGAUCACUAGACCAUCGAAGAUUUCUAUGCCAUCGAUUGUCCAAAGAACUUGUGAGACAGUUAGCUACCUAUAAUUCAAUUUUUACUAAGAUUAGAACAUAAAACUUUCUUACCUAACCCCCCCCCCCCCCCAAAAAAAAAUAAGCGAACUUAUGUUUCAAAAUCAUUGAUUGUAGAAUUUGUACGAGGCUCUUCCAAAAUUCAAUUUCACAUCCAUGGUCACAAUGAAAACGAACGGCUAAUUGUUCUUCACCAAGAUAUUAUUGAAUAGGAACAACAUCCAUAAUACAAAAACACAAGUAAACAUGACAAGAUCACAAUUCGCAUUUACAUAGGACAAUAAAACAUACCUUUGAUUUCCAAUGCAUCCAGCAAUUAAGAUUUUCUUCAUCUUACCACGAACCUUCAUUAAGGUAUGAGCACUAAGAGUCAUAUCAACCAGAUGAUGAGCAUUUGAGAAUUCUAAUGAAGAAGACUCCGAAGUGAGAUACAACAUAGCGCUUUCCCAAGUUACAAGAUUCACAUAAAUGGCAUUUAGAGAAAUAGAGCAGUGGCAGCCUCCUUGUGACCAAAAGUUUAUCAGUUUCUUUGCUCCAAACAGACCAUUCACCAUUUUUAGGAAUAACAAGAGUGUAGCAGUUGUCAUUUGAUCUAGGAACAACCAGCAAGUUAUUUCCCUUUUUAUCAACCUUUCUUGGAGAAACAGACUUCAUCUACAACAUCAUCACAGAGUUGGCUAAUGCUAAGUAGGCUUGUUGUCAAUUCAGCUACACAAUAGACAUCCUUAAGUUGAAAAAGACCAAGAAUCUUGACUAUCCCAUUUCCAGCAAUAUGAGCCUUAUAACCUCCACCAAACUCAAUCUCAUUACCAUUAUCCGGUAUAAGUGACAAGAAAACAUCAUUAUUCCCAGAUAUAUAACAAGGGCAACCACUAUAAAAAUACAAACAUCUAGUUUUGGAACAAAAUGAGUACAGUGAGCAACUAGACAUUUAUCAGAUCCUUUUUUAAGCCUCCUUGAAACAGACUUGAUAUUAUUAGAGCUAGAAGAAUCAACAAAUUGUGCCACUCUGUUGAUUUCUAUGGUUAGUCGAUCAACCUUAUCCUUCAAGUCAUUCCUCUUUUACAAUGAAUGUUUUCUGCACAUUAGUCGAAUAUGACCAAGUUCACCACAGUGAUGGCAUGUGGGAAUGAAUAUUUUCUUUAAGGAAGAUUUGGCCAUAGAGGCCACAUGCAAUGAUUUCUCCACAGCUUCAGUGUAGGUACACACAGAACUUGAACCUUCUUCAAAAACUAAGAUCACACAUGUCAUGAGAUGGUUUUCUAAUACCCAUCAACUCAUUGAUUGUCUCAUCCCUACUGGUUAUGCACUUUAAGCAAUUGUUAGCCACUUUUAGUUCAGACAUUAACUUCAGGUUAGUAUCGCAAUAGAUUUCAUUACUAGCUCUCAACAAAUGAAGUUGACACAACAGAGUUUCUUGAGAAAUCAUUAGCUUCUAAACUUAAGCUUCAAGUGCAGUAAUAAGAACAUCUUGUUCAUCUUUAUCAUCACAAAUAGAGCCCAUUUCAUUCAGUACCCACAAGUGAAAGCCUCGAAUUAGAUAUUUUUUUCACUCAAAUCAGUUCUGACUAGUUGAAGAGACUCAAUUUCUUUUUGCAGUUCAGUAACUUUCAUAUUCAGGUCAACAUUGUCUAAUUUUGCAACACAUGACUCAUCAAACAAAGAUUCAUACAUAAUGGACAAAUCCUGAUAACUCAUCACUUUGCGAUUGUUCAACACACCUUCAUCAUCACUAGAAAAAGCUCAUUUGACAGAUGUAACAAAGGUAACAACAUUUUUUUUUCACCACCUGAUGACUUAUCAGAAUAGGCAAAAUCUUCAUCCUCACCAUCACUUCAAGGGCCAUCAUGGCUUUUUCACGUUUUUGACUUGACAUUCUGUUGUUUGCACACUCAGCCGCACAAUUUCCACUUCCACCAUAUGCGUAACAGGACCAUGUACACUUGAAAAUGACUUUUCCCUCUUAUCAACAAACUUUUAUUGUUUUCUUCCAAAAUUGAACUUUCCAUAAGGUUGAGUCAUGUGAUUAGUUGAUGAUUUUCCAAUCCUUUUGACCUCUUUGCCCUUAUUCUUGAGUAUCAUUCUGAAUUGUUUAACAAACAAGGCAAGAUCAUUUUUAGGGGAUUAAUCACAUGAUUCAUUUUCAACACAACUCUUUUUCACACUUGAAGAGAAAUUUCUUUACUUUUCUUGGAAUCACCUUUUUCCAUGUCAAGCUUCAUUUCAUAGGUAAUGAGUUUACCCACCAAUUUUCCAAGCUUAAUAUCAUUUAAGUCUUAAAAUUCUUGAAUAGCUGCCUUAUUUGCUUGAAAUCUCUUGGACAAAGUUCUCAAGAUCUUUUGAACAACAGUUGUCUUAUCAAUAGGCUUUUACAUUUUUACUUUUUCAUAGAAGGUCGAGAAGAUCUCUGACUCUAGCAUUCUUAGAUCCUCGAAAUUGGACAAAGUCAUCUGAAGUUUAAGCUCCCUUACUUUUUUGUCCCCUUCAUGCAAAAUUCUGAGUUUGUCUCAAGCUUGUUUUACAGUGGUGCAAUAACGAAUAUGAGCAAACUGAGUUGGUGAGAUGGCUGAACAAUGGCAUUUUGUGCUUUUCUAUUAGCCAUAGCUGAUGUAAUCUCCCCUUGAGUCCACUCACCUUUGGCCUUUACCAUAGAUUCUCCAUCGACAAUCCUCAAAUGAGCCUUCCAAAUCAAAUGUAAGAUAAUCCACAUCAAUAAGAUCUUAUGCCUCCAGAAAGAUUUGAAACUUCUCACUUCAAGUGGCAUAGUUCGUUACAUCAAAAGAACAUAAAAGAGUUGCAAGAUCUAGCAAUGUGAUCACGAUCCAUGGUAAGGUUCCACCAAUACCAAUAACUUCCAGAGAUCACUCUAUAUAUCUAGAGCAAAGCUCUGAUACCAAUUGAAAUUGGUACCAUGUGGAAUAACCUGCAAUUAAAAAUUCUAUAUAUGCUUGACUUACUAGGCAGCAACACUAGUCAACAAAGAUCAAGGUUGUUAGUUAACCUGCAGCGAAAUUAAUCAAUUUAAAAGUAGGUUUACUGAAGUGUUCCUAGUUAACUAAGAUCCAGUUUAGUAAACACUCAAACUCUAAAAGACUUAUUUGCAUAGACAUGUCUAUGUGCAAGUCAUGGUGAACAUGUAUCAUAUACAAAAAGUAAGGUAUAAGACCAAGAAAAAAAAAUAAUCAACAAAAGAUGAUUUUGGCCCAAAAAACCCACCAUUGAGUUAAAAAACCUAGGACUUUCUACUGAGUCCAAUCCACUAGUAUAAAUAAGGUUCUUACAAAGUACCACCCAAAUCUCAAUUUCUAGACCUAGUCUACGAAGCAACUUUACCUUUGUGUAACCUUUAUUUUGCACUAAAAGAGGAUUCAUUCAGUCCUCACAAAGUGGCAGCUCCUCUUGAGCUCUUCACCUUGUGGCAUAGAAACCAAAACAAUUUAUGCAAAUGAUGUUAUGAUGAAGUUGAUGAAAUCUAGAUUAAUCAGUUUCUCCAGUCAAACAGUUAAAAGAAGAAAGUGAUGUGAAUCCAGAAUGAGGUCAGUUUAAAGAUUUGAAACUAGAAAAACUUGACCACAAACUUCAAUCAAAAUCACAAAGACAAUGCUACCCUAAUAUGCAAAGAUGUGGGUAUUUAGUGCAAGAAUGUGAUUUUGUGGCUAGGGUUUCUAAUGAAGUACACAAGAGGUAGCUUAAAGUUAAAAUACAAUCUUUUCUGGAAAUCCAAAACAACUAGCCAAGUUGAAAUGAACCCUAUAUGAUCUUUUAAAUAGGGUAGAGGUUUCAAACAAGAAUGGGGAACAAAAAAGAAGCAAUCUAGAGAGAUCUAGGGUUAUAAAUUAACUAUUGGGAAAAGUUGUCAGAUGGCUCAUAUGGGUUGUCUUAAAGUGUGAGCCCAGCUCGCGUAAAAGCAGUGAGAAGAUUUGAUUAGACAAAACCACUAGACAUAAUGAACUAGAAAUAUUAGUAUGAAAUGCAUAUGUAUGAACAAACCUUUGAUGUGAGAAAUUAAGCUCUUGAGAGAAUAUUUUCAAUAGCAAGAUCCCAAAAGUGACAUUUGAACCCUAAAUCUAACUAGAGCAUAGUGGUACAAUUUACAAGAUUUGACAAGGGAAGCCAAACAAUAAUUCUAGACUUCACACAGGUGAAGUUGUCUAAGAUAAUUAUCAACGACAUAAUGGAGAUUAGAUCAUAUAAAAUUAAGGAUUAAGGCUUAAUUUAGUCAGUUCAUCUUUGGUUGAUUUCUUUAUAAACUGACUAUCAGGUAAACCAUUACUCAACAAAUAAAACAUGUACACAAAUCUCCUAUUAGAAUCAAAAUAUUGUAAGCUGGGCACCUUUCUUAAAACCAAGAAAAAUUAACUUUGUAAAAAUUGAAUUUAAUAAAUGAAAAUACCAACUACCAAAUCAAUUUCAAAAAAGUUUAGGUUUAAAUUCAAAACGCAAGGUUCCUUGCGUGAAAUCCCAAAUCAAUUUCAAAACUCAUGAGUCAGGUUUAAAUUCGAAAUUGGCCAUAUUUUAACUUGGACCAAUACUCUAAAAUUGCUUACCUUGAGUAGAGAGGGUUAUGAAAAAUGUCGUCGUUGGAGGCCCAGCCUUUGACAAGGUUGCGACCCAACUCGCCGAAUUUGGAUGAGCUGGUAGUGGUGGUGGUUCUGAUGUAGGAUAGAGUUUGAGAAGCAAUUUACAGAGUUUGAAUUAGGGUGAAUUGAUGUCGAUGAUUGAGAGGGUUCUAGUGGGAGGGCUUAGCGAGUUUUCAUCGAGAGAAUUCAGGUAAGAGCUUUUGUUAAAGACGCAGAGUGCUAUCGAAAAAAGGAAAUGAUAGCACGCGUGUGUUCCACUGAAGCAUUUUUUGACAUUCUAAUGUGAAGGCCUAAGAAAAAAAUAAGAGAGGAUGAGCAUUAAAAUAGGGCAAAACUGAAAACAUUGUUCAAUGUAUCUCUUUUUUAACAAAUGAUAAGAUAAUCCACAUUAAAUUCAUCUAAACUCAAAAAGCGAGAUUUGAAAAUGAAAGCUCGGAUGCAUGAGUGAAUACUAUUAGCCAACUUAGUUAGAAUUUUAUCACAAACAAUUUUGGUGCAAUUUAUGAAUAAUUAUUUUUCAGAUACGAGACAAUUGGUUUUUAUUAGUACAAACUACAAUUUGACGGAUGCUCACCGCACUACAAUCGUACAAAAUCAGAAAGAAUGCAGAAUCUUGCAACUGCUAGAACAACAAAGUCUUAUCCCACUAAGUGGGGUCCUCAUCUUAUCUUCAAUUUCAACUACUCCUAAUUUACCUUGGAUGUCCUCGUUUCUAAUCUUGUCCUUUCUCAUGUGCCCACACAUCCAAUGAAGCAUUCUCAUCUCCGCUACACUCAUUUUGUAAUGUGUUGAUGUUUCACCGCCCAACAAUCCGUGUCAUAAAGCAUUGAUGGCCUUAUUGCCAUCCUAUAAAGUUUUUCCUUGAGAUUUAGUGGAGUACGACAGUCACACAACACACACGAUGCACUCUUCCAUUUCAUUCAUCCAGCUUGUAUUCUAUGAUGAGGUCGCCAUCCAAUUCUCCAUUCUUUUGCAAGAUAGAUCCAAGAUAACAAAAGUGUUUGCUCUUUUGGUACUUCUUAAUCUCUAAUCCUUACCCUAACUUAUUUGAACCUUCGUUCUCAUUGAACUUGCACUCCAUAUACUGUCUUUGACCUACUUAGGUGAAGACCUUUAGUUUUUAACACUUCCCGACAAAGGUUAAGCUUCACAUUUACUCCCUCUUGAGUUUCAUCUAUCAACACUAUAUCAUUUGCAAAAAGCAUACACCAAGGAAUAUCAUAUUAGAUAUGUCUCGUUAACUCGUCAUUACCAAUGCAAAAAUGUAAGGACUUAAAUAUGAGCCUUGAUGUAUCUUUACAGUUGUGGGAAAGCUUUCAGUUUGUCCUUCAUAAGUUUUUACGGCAGUCCUUACUCUAUCAUACAUAUCCUUUAUAGCUUGGAUAUAUGCUACUCGUACUUUUUUCUUCUCUAAAAUCAUUUGAAGAAUAUCUCUUGGGACCUUAUCAUACGUUUUUUUUCCAAAUCUAUAAAGAUCAUGUGCAAAUCCUUUUUCAAAUCUCUAUAUAUUUCCAUUGAUCUUCGUAAGAGGUAGAUUGCCUCCAUGGUUAAGCGUUCUAGCAUGAACCCGAUUUGAUUGUCGGAGACUCAUGUCUCUUGCUUUAGUCUAUGAUCAAUUACUCUCUCCUAGAGCUUCACUAUAUGACUCAUUAACUUAAUACCCCUAUAGUUCAUGCAAUUUUGUACGUCACCCUUAUUCUUGUAGAUAAGCACCAAGGUGCUUUUUAGCCACUCAUUUGGCAUCUUCUUCAUUUUCAAAAUCUUAUUGAAAAGGUUUGUGAGCCAUGCUAUACCCGUCUCUCCCAAGAAAUUUCACACUUCAAUCGAUGUAAUCAUAUGUCCCCACUACUUUUCUAUGCUUCAUCUUUUUCAAAGCUACAACGACUUCUUCCUUCUUGAUUCGGCAAUAGAAAGAGUAAUUUCUACACUCUUCUCGGUUACUUAGCUCUCCCAAAGAGGUACUAUUUUCAUGUCCUUAAUUGAGAAGAUUAUGAAAAUACCAUCUCCAUAUAUUUUAACCGCAUUCUCUAUAGUUAGAACAUUUCCAUUUUCAUCCUUGAUGCACCUUACUUGGUUCAAGUCUCUUGUCUUUCUUUCCCUUUAUUUUAAAAAAUGGUGGACAAAUGGUGGUAAGUCAUGGUUAUCCACCAUUUUCAAGCCUGGAGAAGCUAUUGGGAAUUCAAGCAGACUCACCAACUCUUAGCAUCGAACCUGGGACCUCCCACAUUUUUUUUCUUUAUUGGGGAGCCGCAAUCCGCGCCUUUACCACUGGCCACUUGUUGUGGUUCUUGUCUUCCUUUCCUUAACUCUAGCUAGUUUAUUAGCUAUUUUAUAUCCUACUCUCUUUCUUUGGUAUCCAAUCACUUAUACAUAUCGUCAAAAACCGCUAGCUUCGUUUCUCUCACGGCUUUCUUCGCCUCGUUCUUUGCUAUUUUAGAUCUUUCACAGUUUUUGUCAGUUAUAUCCUUGUAUAAAGUUUUACAACAUUACUUCUUAGCCUUAACUUUUGCAUGUACUCCUCCUUCCAUCACCAAGAUUCUUUUUGAUGUGGAGCGAACCCCUUGGACUUUCCUAAUACCCCUUUUGCUACUUUUUCAAUACAACUAGCCAUGAAAUCCCACAUAUGGUUAGCGUCUCCCUCUAUAUCCAAAACACAUUGAGUACUUACCUUCUCUUUGAAAAAGACUUGUUUUUCUCCUUUUAGAUUCCACCAUCUAGUCUUUGGACACUUCAAGGUCUUGUUCUUUGUUCUAUCUCUUUUAAUAGGUAUAUCCAUCACCAAUAAGCGAUGUUGGUUAGCCAAACUCUCUCCCAGUAUAACUUUGCAAUUGCAUAAUCUUGCAACCACAUGAGUUUUUUAAACAAGUUUCAGCAACAAUCUUUAAAACUGUAAAAACUUUGGUACUUCCACAGUUUUACUGAUUUAGACGAGACAAUACAACUAUGGAGUAAAACAUCAAAGCAUAGUAAAGUAGACAUUUAGUGAUUACAUAAACAAUAACCAUAAGGCGGAAAAAAAAAAAAAACAUGCUUCAUACAUAAACAACAUCUCCAUUCUUAAAUUCGGGCAACCACAGUUGCAGUCGCUCAUACAAACAUCAUUAGCUCGGGCAUACGACAGUCGCACAACACCCGAUGCACUCUUCUACUUCUUCCAUCCAUCUUGUAUUCUAUGGUUGAUGUCUUCAUCCAAUUCUCCGUUCUUUUGCAAGAUAGAUCCAAGAUAACGAAAAUGUUCACUCUUUUGUACUUCUUAAUCUCUAAUCCUCACCCCUAACUCAUUUGAACCUCCGUUCCCACUGAACUUGCACUCUAUAUACUCUGUCGUUGACCUACUUAGGCGAUGACCUUUAGAUUCCAACACUUCCUGCCAAAGGUUGAGCUUUGCAUUUACUCUAUCUUGAGUUUCAUCUAUCCACAUUAUAUCGUCUGUGAAAAGCAUACACCAAGGAAUGUCAUCUUGGAUAUGUCCUGUUAACUCAUCCAUUACCAAUGCAAAAAGGUAAGGACUUAACGAUGAACCUUAAUGUAACCCUACAGUUGUGGGAAAGCUUUCAGUUUACGGCAAUCCUUGCUCCAUCAUACUUAUCCUUUAUAGCUUGGAUAUAUACUACUUGUGCUCUUUUCUUCUCUAAAAUCAUUUACUACUUGUACUCUUUUCUUCUCUAAAAUCCUCCAAAGAAUAUCUCUUAAGACCCUGUCAUACGCUUUUCCAAAUCUAAUAAAGACCAUGUGCAAAUUCUUUUCCGCUUCUCUAUAUCUUUCCAUCGAUCUUAAUAAGAGAUAAAUUGCCUCCAUGGUUAAGCGCCCUAGCAUGAACUCGAAUUGAUUGUUGGAGACUCAUAUCUUGACUUAGUUUAUGUUCAAUUACUCUCUCCCGUAGCUUCAUUGUAUGACUCCUUAACUUUAGCAAUUUUAUACAUCGCCCUUAUUCUUGUAGAUAGGCACCAAAGUGCUUUUUUGCCACUCAUUUGACAUCUCUUCGUUUUCAAAAUCUUAUUGAAAAGGUUUGUAAGCCAUGUUAUACCCGUAUUUCCCACGACAUUUCACACUUUGAUCCCUAUAAUCAUCUGGGCCCACUGCUUUGCUUCAUCUUUUUCAACUCUACAACUAGUUCUUCCCUCUUGAUUCGACUGUAGAAAGAGUAAUGUUUACACUCUUCUGAGUUACUUAGCUCUUCCAUAGAUGUACUCUUUUCAAAUCUACAAAGAAGUACUAUUUCCAUCUAUUUUAACCGCGCUCUAUGUAGCUACAACAUUUCCAUUCUCAUCCUUAAUGCACCUUACUUGGUUUGAAGUCUCUUGUCUUCCUUUCCCUAACUCUGGCUAGUUUAUAUCAAACUCUCAUUCUUUGGUAUCUAAUCGCUUAUACAUAUCGUCAAAAGCCGCUAGUUUUGCUUCUCUCACGGCUUUCUUUGCCUCCUUCGCUAUUUUAUACCUUUCACGGUUUUCGUCAGUUCUAUCCUUGUAUAAGGCUUUACAACAUUUCUUCUUAGCCAUAACUUUUGCACGUACCUCCUCCUUCUACCACCAAGAUUCCUUUUGAUGUGAAGCAAAACCCUUGAACUCUCUCAUAUUGGCUAGCGUCCCCCUCUAUAUCCCAAACGCAUUGGAUGAGCACUUUCUCUUUGAAAAAGACUUGUUAUUCUCCUUCUAGAUUCCACCAUCUAGUCUUUGGACACUUCAAGGUCUUUUUUUCUUCUUCUAUCUCUUGAUGUGCACACCAUCACCACCAGCAGUAUGUAAUGUUGGUUAGUCAAGCUCUCUCUCGGUAUAACUUUGCAAUCCUUACAAGUUAUCCGUUUGUGUUUUUGAUGACCUACUCUUGUAGGUGAUCACAUGCUCCUCUCUUCUUAAGGAAAGUGUUGGCAAAAAAGAGAUCGUAUCUCAUUGUAGAAUCUUGCAACCAAAUGAGUUUUUUAAACACAUUUCAGCAACAAUCUUUAAAGCUGUAAAAACUUUGGUACCUCAACAAUUUUACUGAUUUAGACGAGACAAUACAACUAUGGAGUAAGACGGCAAAGCAAAGGUGACAUUUAGUGAUUACAUAAACAGCAACCAGAAGGCGAAAAAACAAAACAUGCUUCUUACAUCAACAGCAGCUCCAUUCCUAAAUCCGGACAGCCACAGCAGCAGCCGCUCAUACAAACAUCAUUAGCUCGGGCCUGGUAUAUACGUUAUGCUCCUCAUCCUCAAGCAUCGGGUACGAUGCAACAAGAGCAUCUUGAGCUCCAAUAUACAGUGAGUUGUAAAUCUUCCAGUACACCUCUCUAACCUUCCUAGCAGGAUGGAACAGCCCCUGGAGACAGUAGUUGAGCACAACCGCAGCACCUAAUGCCACUCUCAUCCCUUCAAUUGCUUCCAUGACUGCGUUGAUAACGUGUGGGGAUGUCUCAAAUAUGUUUGGCCAGACGUAGUUCAGCAAGUGGACUAAAGCGUCCUCGCAUCCCAAUCCCGCUACUCCCAGAGCCAUGUGCUUUACAGCAGAAGCGGCAGUUUGUCUGUGAACCAGAUCUCUAUCCAUGAGGGCAUCCUCAAGCAACGGGGUCACUGCAUAGAUAUAGUCUUUCCCCAUUUCACCGAUGUACUCAAACAAGAACGAGAGGGACUUCAAAACACCAUUCUGCACAUUAAGCUCUGGAACACGAUACUCAUUCAUCAGGGCCGGAAGAACUGUGAAAGGCGAACAGGUUUCAGCUACUAUUGCGAUUGCCACAGUGGUGCAGACACGGUUCUGACGCUCCUGCACUUUGAGAUUGUUCAAUAGAGUUGCGAGGACAUCUUGUGGACCAAUGGCUUUGGCAAUGUAACCAAAAGUAUUCACUGUAGCUCGCCGGAUACCCUUCUUAUGAGCCUUGAGCAUCUCAAGAAGCUCAAAACAGAUCCUCAUCCACUCCCUUGCUGGAACAAACUCAGCACCGCGAUCAGCAAUACGACCAACAAGGUCAAUACAGUUCUCCUGGACUUUCUCAUGCCUAUUCUUCAAAAUUGGAGUCAACCUGGGAAGCAAAUCCUUUAUAGGAGGAGUCAUCUUUGUCAUACCAAUAACAUUCACAAUUGCCUUCAGCGCUCCCAGAAUUGAUCCCAAAACUUCUGGAUACUCUUCUCCCAAAUACUCAUACAAGACAACACCAAGAUGACCCAUCAGUUGCUCCUCUUGGCACUGCUUCAUGACAACAGCAAUUCUCGAAAUAAGAUCUGCAGCUUGCUGUCUGACCUUUGCACUCUUGUUAUUCAAACGCCACUUAAUGGUACCACAAAUCUGAGGAAGGUAAGGUUUCACCCUCAGACCAAGAGAAUUCACAACUGCACCAAAACCAUUAAGCAUCACAUUUGCAUCAUCACUGGUCUGCUCUUGGAAAGCAUAAAGGAUACCAUCAAUGAGAAGCUCCUCCAACCGAGCAUCAAUGUCAGAUGCACCCAAGUUCACAACCACCUUCUCGAUUGUCUCCAUAACCAUUCUCCUAUACGGUUCACUCUCAUCUUUGAGAUCCUCAACAAUUCUCCCAACUAUAUCAGCAACACCCACUUUGUUUGCUAUCUCUACAGUUGUUUCCACCAAUUGCCUGUAGUUUCUCCUAUCCAAAGCCAUCCUUCUAACCCAAAAGUUUUUAAAGAACUCAGGAAGAAUAUCACUUCUUAUAUACUCCGGCUCUACACCUUCUGUACUCACACACUGUUUGACAACUUUGAGCACAAUUUUCUUCAUCUCUUCAUCAGGAGACUGAAACUCUCUAAUCAAAACAACCAUCACUUCCUUUGUAUAGUAACUUGCAUACAUUGCAUCCAUAAGGGGAAUAAUAAAACCAAUUGCCUUCAAGAAGGCAGCCAAAACCUUACCACGGUGAGACCUAAUACCCUUCCACAAUGGCUUCAACACAGAGUCAAAGCUCUCAAUACCGUAUGGGGCAGCUGCCUCAGCAAGAGCAGCAAGAGAUAGAGCAGUAAUUGUCCGAACCUUCUGAUUUUCAUCGCUCAGACCAUUCUCUAUAAUUUCCACAAGGGACCUCAAGUGGGGAAGUACAGCACACCCGAUCAAAAUGGCAAUCUGCUGAACAAUCUUGAUUCCAGUGUGCCGUGCUUGCCACGACUUCUUGCUCUGACACACAGCUUUCAAAAAGGGCAACAGUGCAGGUAUACCAAGUGCAGAAGCAACAACACUAAAAGCUCUGGCAGUAGUGUUCCUAACAUAUUCAUCAAUGUUAUCAAUAUCCGGACGCAUGGCCGCAAUCAUAGUGGCCAAACCAGCUGCUUUACUAAGAUUGGAGAUAAUUUCUCUCCCUUCAACACGCGCAUAAUAGUCUUCAUCAAUCAACAAAGGUUCAAUAACAACAAGAAUCUUAUGCACAUAAGGACGUACCAACUCAUCCAAUUUAUAAAGCACUCGAUCAAUAACCUUAACCAAAAGAUGCCUCUCUUGGUCUUCCAAAGUGGGUUGCAUAAGCAGAGGCAAAAUGCGGUUAAACAAGGGGCCAGCACCAAACUCACGAGCCUUAUCAGUAAGCUGCCUCAAUGCUGUCUUUCUCUGCUGUGGUGUUCCAUUCUUAACUUUAAGCAGAAGCUUCAUAAUCUUCCGCUCUUUCUGCUCAUCAGGGGACAAUUCCUCCUCCUCAUCUUCAUUCAGCAAUGCCCCAAAGUAUUGAUAGUCCUCAGGCUUCAUAAACGGUAACCCACCAGGCAACUCCUUAGGCACAUCAAACUGCUGCCCACGAUUCUCUUCCGGAAUAGAAUACAUAGGAGUCCCCAUUGGAGUGGGGGUAGCAAGAAGUUUCCUCGCCGGAGUCCUAAUCGGCACAUAAGAAGACGGUGGGUCCAAAACUUUAUACCCUUCUUGAGGAAACAUAGCAUCCAGCUCUUCAUCAGUCAAUGGUCUAUUCCUCUCUUCAAUAUCCUUCUCCCACCUCAAUAGAUUAUACUGCUCUGGCGUAAUGGCUCCCCUCACAUUAAUAGCCCCGGGGGUUGGGGUAGCAAGUUCAACUCCACCUACAGGGGUCACACCAGGUGUAUAGGCAGCAGCAGGGGUUGCCCCAGCCAUUGGGGUCGCACUGCCCAUUGAGGCAGGGGUCUCAUCCCACCUUGACCUCUGCCGUUUCGGUGUCGGUGUGGCCAUCCCAGGAAGCUUCGGAGUCGCAUCCCAAGCCAUCCCAGCAGGGGUGGCACCGGGAGUGACAGCACCAGCUGGAGUAGCAUCCGAAUCUGCCACCCGCCCCGGAGUGGGUGUCUCAUCCCAGCGGUUCCUCCUCCCCAGUGAUGGAGUCGAAUCCGAAACCCUCCCUGGCGUCGGAGUUGCGUCCCACUUUCCUGGCGUCGUAUCCGGCAAGUCCCAAUCCGACGUUUUUGCCUUCUUGCCUCCACCAUCACCAUCCUGAGACUGGUCCCACCGAUUCCUCCUCUUUUGAGGCACCGCCUCAGCAGCAGCAGGCUUAUCCUCCUUUUCCGGCGGCGCCUCCUCUUUCUCCUUCAUCUUCUUAGCAAUAAGCUUCAGAGUCUCAUCCUUCUCCCUCUUCAGGGCUUCCUCCCUCAUCACAUCGGCAUAAGUCCUCACCGACGGGUCCGGAGUCUUCUCCCCGGACGCAAACGGGUCGUGCCGCUCAGGCGAUAUGAUCCGGUUCAACCUCCGCUGUCGAUAAUCAUCCUCCCGAUCGAUAAUCCUCUGCGGCUUCUUGAACCCCAAAUCCUCAUCGGCGUCGCCGCCUCUCGGCCUCUCGUUCAACACCGACUUGGGCGCCGUGUACGACGCCGCCAUCCUCCGAGCAAUCUCGUUGUCCAUGGCCUCCGCGUUGUCAUCGUCGUCGUUCACAGGGAUCGACGAGACGUAUGCGCCCUUGUCGGUGCCGCCGUAGAGGUCUGUGUCGAAGGUGACGGAGGUGAGGGAGGCCAAUUGCUUCUCCAUCCUCUUCCUCUCUUCCUGCGUCUUCUCUAUCUCGUCGUCGGAUGCCAUAAUUAGGGUUUUGGUAUCGAGAAAUUGAUACUAGGGUUUGAGCGGGGAUUGAGAUUUUAAUUCAGG